Long non-coding RNA from Drosophila yakuba, 739 nucleotides. RefSeq lists it as uncharacterized. The record is from RefSeq and is a predicted model, not a curated record. The transcript has 3 exons. NCBI's taxonomy places the organism in Eukaryota, Metazoa, Arthropoda, Insecta, Diptera, Drosophilidae.
ACAAAAGGCAGUGACCAGAAAAAAGUUGUCAAAAAGCAACUCGAUUAAUUAGGGAAAUAAUGCAAGCGAAAUGCUUUUAUCUUGUUCUUUUUAGAAUGCAAUUACAUUUGAAAUUCCGCUGUUUUAACUUUCCCAUAUGCUCCUUCAAAGGAACCACCUUGUGCGCUUUUGGCCAGAGUUAAAUAUAUUUUUCCUGUUUUUACUCACGCUUAAUGCAUUUGGCAAAUCUAGUUAGUUGCUGCCGGCGAGAGCAAUUCUUGCUCCAUUUCCACAGCGGAACUCGGCAGCUCAACCAAGCAGGAAUCACGGGUCCAGGGGGCUAAGGCUAUAAGUCUAGGCAAAAACUAUUUACGACUGCUACACGACUUCAGUGGGUCGGACACAACCUUGCCGGCGGCUUAGUUAUUUACAUUUGGCGGAGGAGCAGCACCAGAGCCCCCGAAUCCCAGAACCCCAGGACCCCACCCCACCCACACCUUCUACACCUUCGGUUUUAUCUGGGAAAGUGCGCCAUUUCGUGCACCUUUCAACGCUGCCAGGAUGAGAGGAUGCUUCAUCAGCCGCCGAAUGCUUCUGCUUUUCCCAACGGACGGCAUCAAUCGCUUCCAAAAUAACCGGCAGCUGAUUGUUUCUUGCCGGGUUUGUUAAAGCAUGGAGAGAAAUUCUUAGACCCGUCAGAUAAUUUAAGUUUAAGCUACUAACUUCAUUUGUUAAUAUAUCAGUGUAUAUAAUAAAUAUG